AGCCAUCCCUGGACCCUGCAUCCCCAGACUUUGUGCCCACAUUGUUUAAGCACAGGCAGCAUCAGUGUGAUAGAAUCCAAAGAAAACUUGACCGAUAUCAAAGGAAGAGAAGAAGAACUACUGAAGCUUCCUCUGAUGAAAAUGGAACAUCAAAUGCCCAUUAUUCCAAAGACAAUGAUCCUCUGCCCAGCACAAGCCAGCCUUUCAGUCAUGACCAGGAGCUUGAGCUUGAUGAAGAGGAUUCUACUGUCCCUAGAAAGGCCUAUGAUGACCUGAAAUUAAAGAAUGAGCAACUGAAGACAAUGCUAACCUUCGGAAGGAAGUACAACAUCUGAAAGAUCAAAACAAAAAGCUUAGAGACAAUUGAAGACCGACAUAUUUCCUAUAGUGUCAUUAAAACCAAGGCUAAACAAAUGCUAUUCUUUACAGGGUUGACCACCAUCAUUUUUCAGUGGUUGGUGUCAAAACUGAAGGACAGUAUAGUGACAGUGUUUCCUCACCUUUCUAUUGAGGACCAUCUGUUGACCGUGCUUAUGAAGCUACGACUUGGUUUAACCAAUAAAGACAUAGCUUUCAGAUUUUAGGGCGUUUUCAUAUUAAGUACGAUUGCUUCUCUCCACUCCCCCGCCGCUCAGCUUUCACAUUAGUAAUGUUGUUCCGUACCCGAGUACACUUGCGUCAUCAACAACGCGACAUUUGUUUAUGUUGUCGCUCCAGUGUAAAGCCCCAUUCGCAAGAUCCCAAGCCCAUUCUAAAUAGCAGUCCACUUCCAUGUUUUGGUACAGUAGUUUUCACACCUGAUGUGAACCGUACCCGAGUACACAUGAACCGUACUCGAGACCACCUUUUCAAGUGGACCCGGGCACGGUUCGUUGAUCCAUACCCGGGUACGGUACACAGUGUUCACACUAAUCAAACGAACUGGACUUUGGGUUCAAGUGGACUCGUGUACUCGGAUCCGGGCCCGGGUCUCUGAUGAAAGCCUCCUUAUGUAGACCCUAAUGUAAUUACCCAGGCCUUGACUGGGUAAUUACUGGCUCCCUGCAAUGUCAAAAAUAUUGAAGACACUAAUCAAAUGGCCAACUAAGAAUGCAAAUCUCAGGAACAUGCUACGGUUUAAAAAAAAAAAAAAAAUUAGGGGUUGCAGGUGUAUUUUCGAUUGUACAGAAAUCUUCAUGGAAAGACCUUCCAGUCUUACCGCUAGGGCUCAAACUUGGU
Anguilla anguilla (European eel) is the source of this 1218-nucleotide long non-coding RNA. RefSeq lists it as uncharacterized. Lineage: Eukaryota; Metazoa; Chordata; Actinopteri; Anguilliformes; Anguillidae. The record is from RefSeq and is a predicted model, not a curated record. The transcript is spliced from 3 exons.